UAAAUACCAGUUCAGAAGUGUGGAGCAAGUCAUGGUGCCCUCUAGAGCUCAAGGCUUUGUAGAUGACGUCCGACUCUUUGAAGGCAUCAGCCUCGAUGAUAACUGCAUUCCCAGAUGCUCCAGCCCAGAACGGUCUAUGCUAAGACGAGAUUGGCUUACUCUUUGAGAAUGUCCUUGAGCACAGUACUCUUCCCGGCCCCCAUCCCACCACCCAUGAGGAGGAGGACCGGACUUCUGUCGCUAAGAGCCAUUGGUACCAUGACAUUCGUGCACUGUGAAUCGUCGUUUGUCACAAGUCCAAUAGCUUUCAUCUCCUCCACUAAUGUGUUAUUCUAGGAAAUACUUGUUGGAUUGAAACGAAGCAUGAGAUCGACAUGCCUGGCUGAGCAUAAACGACGUAUGUUUCCAGUGGAACGCAAAGUAGCUGAGGAUGCAUCUUUCGAAUUCUUCCACCAGUUUGAUGAAGAGAGAAUCAACAUCAGGAUCGUUUGCAAAAAACGCGUACAUGUCCUCUUCGCAUCCCUCAGCUUUUUUAAUGUAUUCGGAUGCCAACUUACACAAAUGUGGGCAUUCUCUCCUGUCUUUGAAUCCCAUCUGCCUGGCUGCUCCCCACACACACAACAACACACACUAUGUUUUAAAAUCAUCUAAGGAAUAUCUUGAUCAUUCAUAUGUACAUUUUCGAAUAUUGAUGAUUUUGAUCUUAGCUAACGCGAUCGAAGAUCCAAGGGAGGAGAGGAAGGGGCAGAGAUAGAUUUCUUAUUACCUACAUAGUGAGAGAACUUCUCAAUGCUCAGAACCUGGUCGGCAGCGGAGAUUCUCUUCCGAGGUAUGAUCUUCCUGUCGCGUACUUUCCUGAUGCGGUAAUGCAGCGCGGCUGCUAUGAUCAGCCCCACGGAGGAGGCCACGAGGAUCUGCGUGUAUGUUGCUUUAGCGCUGCCGUUCAUCUCAUCUGCCGUAGAAUCAAACAUAAUAAUCUGUGAUGGGUAACUAGUUUUUUUGUUGAUCAGUUUUUACGUAUGUUUUGCCACUAUGCAUCUCUUGCCUAUGGAAGGACAAGAAUGUGUUUUUCCUCUGUUUCUUUCUCUUUCUCUCUGUGUGUCUCUGUGUGUGUGAUUCUGUUUUUUUUUGUUCCUAUGAAUUUGGAGAUGGAUGUUCAUGAAUGUCUGAAUGUUUCAACUCCUUGUAUGUGGUCAAUUUGCAUCAUGAAUUAUCAAACAUUCUGUUUUAUGUUGUA
Molecule: non-coding RNA, 1237 nt
Organism: Salvia hispanica
Lineage: Eukaryota; Viridiplantae; Streptophyta; Magnoliopsida; Lamiales; Lamiaceae
Source: RefSeq, a predicted model, not a curated record